RNAcentral lists this transfer RNA (91 nucleotides) under Staphylococcus haemolyticus. RNAcentral describes it as "tRNA-Ser". It matches the Rfam family "tRNA". From Rfam's summary of the family: Transfer RNA (tRNA) molecules are approximately 80 nucleotides in length. The record is from RNAcentral. RNAcentral also lists the same sequence under 1 other name. Lineage: Bacteria; Bacillati; Bacillota; Bacilli; Caryophanales; Staphylococcaceae.
GGAAGAUUAACCCUAACGGUAAGGGAUCUCUUUGCUAAAGAGACAGUAGCCCCUGAAAAGGGGUGUGUCAGUUCAAGUCUGACAUCUUCCU